This is a long non-coding RNA of Schistocerca cancellata (South American locust), 926 nucleotides long. RefSeq lists it as uncharacterized. The record is from RefSeq and is a predicted model, not a curated record. NCBI's taxonomy places the organism in Eukaryota, Metazoa, Arthropoda, Insecta, Orthoptera, Acrididae. The transcript is spliced from 3 exons.
GCUCACGCCGGUGUGAACUCAGAUCAUGUAAGAAUUUAAAGGUCGAACAGACCUAAUCACUGGGCUACUGCACCCAAAAUUUUCCUUAUCCAACAUCGAGGUCGCAAUCUGCUUUGUCGAUAUGAGCUCUCAAAAACAAUUACGCUGUUAUCCCUAAGUAACUUAAUCUUAUGAUCAUAAAUUAUGGAUCGAAACAACAAACAUAAAUAAAUGAUUUAAUAAUGAAGAGUUUAUUUAUUCUUCAUGUCACCCCAACAAAACAUCAUCAUUAAAUAUAGAAAGACAAACAAAAAACUAUAUAAAAAUAAAAUGUUAAGCUCUAUAGGGUCCUCUCGUCCUAAAGAAAAAUUUAAGCCUUUUGACUCAAAGGUUAUAUUCAAAAAUUUAUUAAGAGACAGUUGAUUUCUCGUCAAGCCAUUCAUUCCAGCCACUAAUUAAGAGACUAAUGAUUAUGCUACCUUUGCACGGUAAAAUACCGCGGCUCUUUAAAAAUCUGCUCAGUGAGCAGGCCAGACCUCAAAGUAUUUUCAAGAGGACAUGUUUUUGAUAAACAGGCGGAAAUCAAUUUUGCCUAGUUCCUUAUAAUAAGUUCACAAGGUAAAAAUUAUAUACAAAUAAAUAUACUAAUUCUAUCAUUAUUACAAAAAUUUUAAAAUUAAAUAAAUAAUCUUAAUAAAAAACCUAAAAUAAUUAUAAAAUCAAAAUAAAAAAUAAUGAACUAAAACGUAAUCUUAAAAAACUAGAUAUCUUGGGAAACGAUUAACAUCUCAUUUCUAUAAAUAAUUUAAUAAUAAUUAUGAUACAUUAACUAUAAAUUAUCUAUAAAUCAACCCAAAUCGAGACAAGUAAAAUAAAUACUAAAAUUUUGAUAAACCCUGAUACAAAGGGUACAAUAAAUAAAAUCUACUUUUAAAAAUUUAAAAUAA